Molecule: microRNA precursor, 106 nt
Filed under: Canis lupus familiaris (dog)
Lineage: Eukaryota; Metazoa; Chordata; Mammalia; Carnivora; Canidae
Also listed under: 1 other name
Description: mir-8834 microRNA precursor family
Rfam family: mir-8834 microRNA precursor family
Source: Rfam by way of RNAcentral
AGGAGGAACAACAACGGUGGCGGCACCAGCUCUCCAGCCCUGGAGUCAGCUCCCACAGGAAUUACUGCAGCUCUCAGUCUGCAGGGCCUGGAUGCUCCGGGGCUGG